GGCGAACGCUGGCGGCGUGCCUAAUACAUGCAAGUCGGGCGGACCGAACGAGGUCUUGCUCUUGUUUGGUCAGCGGCGGACGGGUGAGUAACACGUGGGCAACCUGCCCGCAAGACCGGGAUAACUCCGGGAAACCGGAGCUAAGACCGGAUAACACCGAAGACCGCAUGGGCUUCGGUUGAAAGGCGGCCUUUGGGCUGUCACUUGCGGAUGGGCCCGCGGCGCUUUAGGUAGUUGGUGAGGUAACGGCUCACCAAGGCGACGUAGCGUAUCCGGCAGGAGAGGACGGGCAGCCAGACUGGGAGGGUGACAGGCCCCAGAGGCAUUGGGGAGGGGGCAGUAGUGCUUCGGGAGGAAGGGGCGAAGGCUUGAGGGAGCGGGGCGGAGUCAGCGUGGAAGGCCGUCGGGUCGUAAAGCUCGGUUGUGAGGGAGGAAGGAGCGCCGUUCGGAGAGGGAGGCGCAGUGACGGUACCUCACGAGAAAGCCCCGGCUAACUACGUG
RNAcentral lists this ribosomal RNA (501 nucleotides) under uncultured bacterium. Its description in RNAcentral is "partial 16S ribosomal RNA". It matches the Rfam family "Bacterial small subunit ribosomal RNA", at positions 28 to 507 of the family's 1533-position model. The record is from RNAcentral.